RNAcentral lists this ribosomal RNA (831 nucleotides) under Pseudomonas sp. RODSPM11. RNAcentral's name for it is "bacterial SSU rRNA". It matches the Rfam family "Bacterial small subunit ribosomal RNA", at positions 56 to 883 of the family's 1533-position model. The record is from RNAcentral. Lineage: Bacteria; Pseudomonadati; Pseudomonadota; Gammaproteobacteria; Pseudomonadales; Pseudomonadaceae.
UGCAGUCGAGCGGUAGAGAGAAGCUUGCUUCUCUUGAGAGCGGCGGACGGGUGAGUAAUGCCUAGGAAUCUGCCUGGUAGUGGGGGAUAACGUUCGGAAACGGACGCUAAUACCGCAUACGUCCUACGGGAGAAAGCAGGGGACCUUCGGGCCUUGCGCUAUCAGAUGAGCCUAGGUCGGAUUAGCUAGUUGGUGAGGUAAUGGCUCACCAAGGCGACGAUCCGUAACUGGUCUGAGAGGAUGAUCAGUCACACUGGAACUGAGACACGGUCCAGACUCCUACGGGAGGCAGCAGUGGGGAAUAUUGGACAAUGGGCGAAAGCCUGAUCCAGCCAUGCCGCGUGUGUGAAGAAGGUCUUCGGAUUGUAAAGCACUUUAAGUUGGGAGGAAGGGUUGUAGAUUAAUACUCUGCAAUUUUGACGUUACCGACAGAAUAAGCACCGGCUAACUCUGUGCCAGCAGCCGCGGUAAUACAGAGGGUGCAAGCGUUAAUCGGAAUUACUGGGCGUAAAGCGCGCGUAGGUGGUUUGUUAAGUUGGAUGUGAAAUCCCCGGGCUCAACCUGGGAACUGCAUUCAAAACUGACUGACUAGAGUAUGGUAGAGGGUGGUGGAAUUUCCUGUGUAGCGGUGAAAUGCGUAGAUAUAGGAAGGAACACCAGUGGCGAAGGCGACCACCUGGACUAAUACUGACACUGAGGUGCGAAAGCGUGGGGAGCAAACAGGAUUAGAUACCCUGGUAGUCCACGCCGUANACGAUGUCAACUAGCCGUUGGAAGCCUUGAGCUUUUAGUGGCGCAGCUAACGCAUUAAGUUGACCGCCUGGGGAGUAC